ACAAGCGGUGGAUGAUGUGGUUUAAUUCGAUGCAACGCGAAAACCUUACCCACCUUUGACAUGUACGGAAUCUUUAGAGAUAGAGGAGUGCUCGGAAAGAGAGCCGUAACACAGGUGCUGCAUGGCUGUCGUCAGCUCGUGUCGUGAGAUGUUGGGUUAAGUCCCGCAACGAGCGCAACCCUUGUCAUUAGUUGCUACGAAAGGGCACUCUAAUGAGACUGCCGGUGACAAACCGGAGGAAGGUGGGGAUGACGUCAAGUCAGCAUGGCCCUUAUAGGUGGGGCUACACACGUCAUACAAUGGCUGGUACAAAGGGUUGCCAACCCGCGAGGGGGAGCCAAUCCCAUAAAGCCAGUCGUAGUCCGGAUCGCAGUCUGCAACUCGACUGCGUGAAGUCGGAAUCGCUAGUAAUCGUGGAUCAGCAUGUCACGGUGAAUACGUUCCCGGGUCCU
This 452-nucleotide ribosomal RNA is filed under the name uncultured Hydrogenophaga sp. RNAcentral's name for it is "bacterial SSU rRNA". It matches the Rfam family "Bacterial small subunit ribosomal RNA", at positions 925 to 1382 of the family's 1533-position model. The record is from RNAcentral. Lineage: Bacteria; Pseudomonadati; Pseudomonadota; Betaproteobacteria; Burkholderiales; Comamonadaceae.